RNAcentral lists this ribosomal RNA (427 nucleotides) under uncultured bacterium. RNAcentral's name for it is "partial 16S ribosomal RNA". It matches the Rfam family "Bacterial small subunit ribosomal RNA", at positions 354 to 796 of the family's 1533-position model. The record is from RNAcentral.
GUGGGGAAUAUUGGGCAAUGGGGGCAACCCUGACCCAGCGACGCCGCGUGGGGGAAGACGGCCUUCGGGUUGUAAACCUCUUUUGUACGGGAAGAAGGAAGUGACGGUACUGUACGAAUAAGUCCCGGCUAACUACGUGCCAGCAGCCGCGGUAAUACGUAGGGGACGAGCGUUGUCCGGAAUUACUGGGCGUAAAGGGCGCGCAGGCUGUGCUGCAAGUCAGCUGUUAAAUGUCUGGGCUUAACCCGGGCAUGCGGUUGAGACUGCGGUGCUGGAGUGCUGUAGAGGCAAGUGGAAUUCCCAGUGUAGCGGUGAAAUGCGUAGAUAUUGGGAAGAACACCGGUGGCGAAGGCGACUUGCUGGGCAGCAACUGACGCUGAGGCGCGAAAGCCAGGGGAGCAAACGGGAUUAGAAACCCGUGUAGUCC